This 4718-nucleotide unclassified non-coding RNA is filed under the name Nilaparvata lugens (brown planthopper). RNAcentral describes it as "protein spinster, transcript variant X2". The record is from RNAcentral. Lineage: Eukaryota; Metazoa; Arthropoda; Insecta; Hemiptera; Delphacidae.
GUCACGUGCUGGCUACGUCAUUCGAAAUGGAUGCCAUGGAAGGCAUUCAUGUUUCAGUUGCUCUCAACUUUGUGUCGUGUUUUGUCGUGCAUCGUGAAGUUUUGAAUUAUCCAUGCCAGCACAAAAGUUCGUAGAUAAACAUUCUUUAAAAAUACUAAACAUGGAGCCUUCUGGCAUUCCAUCUAACAAUUCUCAUCAACACUUAAUGAACGGUGAUGACGGAGACAGUGUUGACACAAUAGUUCCACCGUUAUCAGCUGAAUCACGCGAAGGCGCCAAAGACAACAGGACGAUUCGCUCUAUUUCAUUUCGGGAAUGGAUAACUGUUGCUGUUCUGUGCUAUGUCAACCUUAUCAACUACAUGGAUCGGUAUACGAUAGCAGGUAUACUGGAUCAGAUCCGCACACACUUCAAUAUCUCUGAUGACAAGGUGGGUCUACUGCAGACAGCGUUUGUGCUGUCCUACAUGCUAUUUGCACCCCUCUUCGGCUAUCUGGGCGACCGCUACAGUCGCCGCGCCAUCAUGGCCGCUGGGGUAUUCCUAUGGAGCCUCACCACGCUAUUGGGCUCCUAUAUGGAUAACUAUUACUGGUUCCUGUUCUUCCGAGGAUUAGUCGGAGUGGGGGAAGCGAGUUACUCGACGAUAGCUCCGACGAUCAUCAGUGACCUGUUCAUCAAGGAUAUGCGAUCCAAGAUGUUGGCACUCUUUUACUUCGCCAUACCUGUCGGAAGUGGUCUGGGAUACAUAGUUGGCGCAAAGACAGCGGACGCAAUGGGCAUGUGGCAAUGGGCACUGCGCGUGACCCCAUUCAUGGGCGCACUGGCUGUCAUCCUCAUCCUGCUGCUGAUGCAGGACCCGGCCAGGGGGCAGAGCGAGGGUCGCACUCACCUCACUGCCAGCUCCUGGUCGAACGACAUUGCUCACAUCACCAGCAAUGCAAGUUUCAUGCUGUCGACAGCUGGAUUCACGUGUGUGGCAUUUGUAACUGGUGCCAUGGCAUGGUGGGGUCCGCAGUUCAUCUACUAUGGAAUCAAACUUCAACCUGGAAGAGAAAAUACCACGCUAUCAGACGUGGCGUUCAACUUCGGUGUGAUCGCGAUGGUGGCGGGCCUGAUAGGGGUGCCACUGGGUUCGGCCCUGGCCCAGUACCUGCGGCCGCGCUUCCCCAAGGCUGACCCCCUCAUCUGCGCCUUUGGCCUCCUCCUCAGCGCACCUCUCCUCUUCGUCGCCUCCCUCUGCGCCGGAUCCAAUGUCAACGUCACCUAUGUCCUCAUAUUCUUCGGACAGAUAUUCCUCAACAUCAACUGGUCCAUUGUCGCUGAUAUCCUUCUCUAUGUGGUUACCCCAACAAGAAGAUCAACAGCGGAAGCAUUUCAAAUAUUGCUGUCUCAUGCGUUAGGAGAUGCAGGCAGUCCGUAUCUAGUAGGAUUGUUAUCAGAGAUGUUCAAGAAGUCAUUAUCGAUGGCUCCGGCGGCGGGGAUGGCUGUGAUGGGGGUGGGGGUGGCUACGUCGUACACGCCCUACAGUCCGAAGGUGGAGUUCCACAGUCUGCAGUAUGCGCUGUUCACCACCAGCUUUGUCGAGGUGCUGGGAGGCGGUUUCUUCCUGCUCACCAGUCUCUACGUCAUCCAGGACAGGGCAACUGCCGAACGUGAUCUGUCGGAAAAAAUUUGUGAAGUAUGAGUUGGUUUAGAGGAAGCUCCCCCUCUAGGAUUAGCCAAGGAUUUUAUUCGACUAUUCAUAGGGCAAGACAACCCAGCUCAUCCGACGCAUCUUUACGCGGAUGAUCCCCACCUAAGAGAAAGUGUUCCUGAACUCGUUACACCUUAGAACUAAAGACCCUCGCAUUACAAUUACUGCUCUCCUCUCACCCAUUCAUCUUCUCUCUCUCUCUCUCUCUCUCUCUCUCUCUCACUCACGAAUGCGCCAUAUCUCUCAAUCUCUUAGACUGAACGGUUGAGAUUGACCAAAUCUAGGUUUAUUCCUAUUAGUCUUUGUGUAAAUAAGAUCUUUCUCACAUAUUAAAUAUGUAAAUAAUAGAUUAUUAUUCUCUAGCUUUAAUUUAUUUAAUUUGAAUAAAUUAUUUUAUUGGAUUUAUUAUUUGAAUAAUUAAUUCAUUCUGUAGACCAUAAUAUAUAAACAGCUAUUUUGUUGAGUUGAUAAGCUCGUGUUAUCUCCAUUCCAUUCUAUGUUUGGGAUGGAGAUGAUUCUGAUUCAAGGUUUUUGGAAACUCGGUUGAUUUUACCGAAAUAUCUUCUUAUAAUGAAGUUGAUAUUCAGCGUGUCAAAGUAAGCCCAGAUUUUGUUGAAUCAUUAACAUUUCUGAAUUUAUUCGUCUUCACUUCAAUUCAAGAUCGGAAAAUCAAUAAAUGGUACCGUAUUCAAAAUUUGAAUGAAAGUACUAAAAGUUUUAAUAAAUUUAUAAAAAAAUGUCAAUUUACAGUAUUUCGAUUUUCAAUUUUAAAUUCAAAAAGGUUGUGGAAUAUAUUUGGUGGUUUAACCAUUCCAUUAAUGUGUAGUUUCGUGUUUUGAAAAAUGUAUAUAUUCAUUCAAUCUUUUAUCUACAAAAUUCUUGAUAUAUAUGUUAAUAUGUUGCAACUACUUAUUUAAGAUGAUUGAUGAAUUGUAAUGAUGUUUCAAGUAAUUCCUUCGUGAUGUAAUUCUGUGAAUUAUCAAUAUGAUUCAUAUUUAAAAUUCUGACAUGAUACUUCAAGAGACAUUAUAACGAUAAUUCAACACUUUCGACUAUUAUACACAACAUUGUCUAUGACUCACACCAUACAAAAUUCAUUAGAAAGUAUUUACAUGUUUUACCUUGCAUUUUUGAAACUUUCGUUUUGGAAGAAUUGAAUGCUUGAGUUUGUUCUUUUAUUUUUUUAAAUGAAGAAGCUAACAUUCUUGGACCAAAUUUUUUCAACUAAGUUGUUUUUUAUAGUGGUGGUUCAAAAUAAUAUCACACGGAUAUGAAAAUAAAAAUUGUUUUUAUAUUAUUCCAUGAUGGUUUAACCCACUUAUAAGAAUAUCUUAAGAAAAUCAUUUGCGGUAUCUAAAACUCGGUGAAACACAUCACGCUGCACUGUGAGACUGUUUGUACUGUAUUAAAAAUAUUUCCAAUUUUUACAGAAGGGAUUUUGAAAACCAUAAAAUUUUCAUCAAUCCUAUCGUUGUCUGAAUCUUGUUUUUCUCCUGUAUUUUUUAUAAUUCAUCAAUAAAUGUGAGCUCAUUAUAAAAACAUGAAGCCAUGGUGGGUCCUGUUCUCAUUCUUUAAAUUUCUUUAUAGUUGAAUCUGAAGUAAUAUUUUCGGAUGACAUAAGAUCUUCAAUUUCUUCAUCUACAAGUAGAUUAAUUAAUACAACGAAUAAGACCAAAAAUAGAUAUAUGUUGUGAAUAUUUAUUAGAAUAGUUUAAGGAAUUUUUAAAUCAACCUAAAACCUGAACAAGCGAUAAUAAGGAUAUUAUUCCACCUGAUAAUAUUAUACAGUAAUAAUGAAUCAAUCAAUGUAUCUAUAUUUUCAUCAAAUAAUUCUCCAUGAGAAGAUAAUAGAUGCAUUGUUUUGCUCUAUCACUCGAAUCACGACUCUAUAAAUUACGUCAUUUUAUCAUGAAAUAUAAAUUUCUAAAUUUCAUACAUGAAUAUUCCAUUGUAUUACAUUAUAAUUGAACAAUUUUUUGAUCCUGAAUAACCUGUACGAUGUAAAUAUCAGAAUUACUAGUUAAUAUUUUUAAAAAAGGUUUGUGUUUAGGAGAUGGUUAGAUGUGCAAUAUUGAAUUUUUUGAGAACAAUUAUAUUUACUUGCUAUAAGUUGAAUUAGUUUAAAAAAGCUAUAGAUCUUUCUAAAACUUCAAAAUACUUUAUAUUCUACGAUUUCUAGAUUCAACUAAUGUUAGAAUUUCCUAUUUUUUCAAUCAAAAGUUAAUUUUAGUUUAUUCUAUUGAAACAACAUACAGUAGUCAAAAUAUCAAAAUUAAUAUCAUAAGAGCUGAUAUUUUAAAUUAAUAUUUUGAUGACUUGCAUAUUAGACUUCAAUUAUAAUAUUAUUACUCAAUCAAAAUAUCGUAGUUUUUAAUUUAUUUACUCAAUGUGAUGCACAGUUUUAUUAAUAAAGACGUGACACAUUCUUUGUUGACAUAAUAAUUGAAUUUAUCAAGUUUGUUAAAAAUUCCUUUGUACAAAACCCUCUCUCAAACCUAAUUCCAAGGGCCAAGUCAAAUUCCAUUCUAAACUUUUAUUAUUACUAAUUCUGUUUUAGUAAAAUAUUUCAAAUGAUGUUUGAGUAUUUUCAUGCCAUUUUUGUACAACUCAAAAAAAAUCAGAGCUCCCGGUAAAUUUUUAUCCAAAUUUUAAUGUAUUGAGUCAAAAAUGGCUGUUUAUUGGUUAAAUUAAGACUGUUUAAUGUAAAUUAACCAUCUAGUUUUUAUCUAGAUUGUAAAUUAUGAUGAUGAUGAUGAUGAUAAUAAUAGACUUCUUACCAUGUAAAUAAAUAACUUUAUUGAUUUGUGAUUUUCUUUGCCAUUGAAUGUUUGUAUUUUAUUACUUAUUGGAAAAUGUCCUGCAGAGUCCAUGUUGUAUGUUUUAUAGUGUAUGUUGCAUAGAUGUAAUAUAGUUAAUAUAUUCGUUGCUAUUUGAAAUUAAUCUCUAUUGUAAUACUGUAAAAUUUAUAUGUGUGCUAGGUAUAUGGUAAUGAUUGAAUGUUUUGACGAACAUUAAAUGGAUUUAU